Etheostoma spectabile (orangethroat darter) is the source of this 156-nucleotide long non-coding RNA. RefSeq lists it as uncharacterized. Lineage: Eukaryota; Metazoa; Chordata; Actinopteri; Perciformes; Percidae. The record is from RefSeq and is a predicted model, not a curated record. The transcript has 3 exons.
AUAAUUAUGGUUACCUAGUGAGUCCAGUAGUCCCCAGUAAGAGAAACAGUGGGUGCAUGUUUUGCAGUCCUCUCCUUUGUAUACAACUCGUGUAUUCUUCUUGUGAUGGUGCGUCUUGAGGGAAUCUCAUACCUGCCGUCAUUUGUUGCUCCGAAU